GAUGAACGCUGGCGGCGUGCCUAAUACAUGCAAGUCGAACGAAACUUCUUUAUCACCGAGUGCUUGCACUCACCGAUAAAGAGUUGAGUGGCGAACGGGUGAGUAACACGUGGGCAACCUGCCCAAAAGAGGGGGAUAACACUUGGAAACAGGUGCUAAUACCGCAUAACCAUAGUUACCGCAUGGUAACUCUGUAAAAGGUGGCUAUACUACCGCUUUUGGAUGGGCCCGCGGCGCAUUAGCUAGUUGGUCGGGUAAAGGCUUACCAAGGCAAUGAUGCGUAGCCGAAUUGAGAGGUUGAUCGGCCACAUUGGGACUGAGACACGGCCCAAACUCCUACGGGAGGCAGCAGUAGGGAAUCUUGCACAAUGGGCGAAAGCCUGAUGGAGCAACGCCGCGUGGGUGAAGAAGGUCUUCGGAUCGUAAAACCCUGUUGUUAGAGAAGAAAGUGCGUGAGAGUAACUGUUCACGUUUCGACGGUAUCUAACCAGAAAGCCACGGCUAACUACGUG
RNAcentral lists this ribosomal RNA (512 nucleotides) under uncultured bacterium. RNAcentral's name for it is "partial 16S ribosomal RNA". It matches the Rfam family "Bacterial small subunit ribosomal RNA", at positions 28 to 507 of the family's 1533-position model. The record is from RNAcentral.